RNAcentral lists this ribosomal RNA (207 nucleotides) under uncultured bacterium. RNAcentral's name for it is "partial 16S ribosomal RNA". It matches the Rfam family "Bacterial small subunit ribosomal RNA", at positions 568 to 774 of the family's 1533-position model. The record is from RNAcentral.
CGCGCAGGCGGCCAGGUCAGUCGAAUGUGAAAGCCCCCGGCUCAACUGGGGAGGGUCAUUCGAUACUGCCUGGCUUGAAGAUAGGAGAGGGAAGUGGAAUUUCAGGUGUAGUGGUGAAAUGCGUAGAUAUCUGAAGGAACACCAGUGGCGAAGGCGACUUUCUGGCCUAUUCUUGACGCUGAGGCGCGAAAGCUAGGGGAGCGAACG